This is a long non-coding RNA of Solanum dulcamara, 635 nucleotides long. RefSeq lists it as uncharacterized. The record is from RefSeq and is a predicted model, not a curated record. Lineage: Eukaryota; Viridiplantae; Streptophyta; Magnoliopsida; Solanales; Solanaceae. The transcript is spliced from 2 exons.
GACAGAGUUGCUACAGGCAACUGAUCAGUAACUUGGUUGUUAGUGACAUAAAUCACGUGGAAGAGCCCUGGAUGCUUUAUCAAAGGUUGAUCGUCUUUCAGCUGAAUUACAGUAUGACUGAGAAUCCAUUGUUGAUUCUUGGACCUGCUGUCUGGAGUCUGGACUUGCUGAAGGUGUUUAGUAAUUCCUUUUCCUCCAAAUAUUACUCAUAUAUUGAGUUUCAGUAUUGUGAUAUCAAGCUGCAUGGGCAAUUUUAUUUUAUGCUUCAACAUGGAAAUGCACUUUCUGUAGGUUUCACUAAAUAAUAUAAGGGAUUUAUUGAUGCAAUGUUGUUUGGAUGAUCCGCCUGAUGUUCGGCUAAGUGAUUUUGGUUUGCUUGAACUUGCAAGGGCAAGUGUAUAUAACCUUAGAGCUUAACCCACUUCAACGGCUUCAGAUUGUGUUUGAGUUUCUUUAGUACUGAUCCAAAUAUGGUCGGCAUUGUAUAUCUGUUGGGAAAACAGAAUGCCUUGAGAAGGCAAUCUUCUUUUCGCUGCUAACGUACUUAUGGUUGUUGCUACUAGGUGUGUUCUAUUCAUUUGCAAACUCGGUUGGUUGAAUUUCUCGAUAUUGCCACUAAGCAACUAGGCAUGGAA